Molecule: ribosomal RNA, 492 nt
Filed under: uncultured bacterium
Lineage: Bacteria
Description: partial 16S ribosomal RNA
Rfam family: Bacterial small subunit ribosomal RNA
Source: RNAcentral
AGUGAACGCUGGCGGUAGGCCUAACACAUGCAAGUCGAACGGCAGCACAGUAAGAGCUUGCUCUUACGGGUGGCGAGUGGCGGACGGGUGAGGAAUACAUCGGAAUCUACUUUUUCGUGGGGGAUAACGUAGGGAAACUUACGCUAAUACCGCAUACGACCUACGGGUGAAAGCAGGGGAUCUUCGGACCUUGCGCGAUUGAAUGAGCCGAUGUCGGAUUAGCUAGUUGGCGGGGUAAAGGCCCACCAAGGCGACGAUCCGUAGCUGGUCUGAGAGGAUGAUCAGCCACCCUGGAACUGAGAACCGGUCCAGACUCCUACAGGAGGCAGCAGUGGGGAAUAUUGGACAAUGGGCGCAAGCCUGAUCCAGCCAUACCGCGUGAGUGAAGAAGGCCUUCGGGUUGUAAAGCCCUUUUGUUGGGAAAGAAAAGCAGCAGGUUAAUACCCCGCUGUUCUGACGGUACCCAAAGAAUAAGCACCGGCUAACUUCGUG